AUUUAUUUUCAUAGUUUCCUUUUUUUCCCUCCAAUCCAAGGCACCCCUGAGCCCCAGAAGCCAAAACCCAGUGUUUCGUUUUAGUUUGGUUCUUGCUGAGCUUGCUUACCUCACCUACUGGUCUCUGCAGCUACAUCUAGCAAGUUUAAGAAAGGGUGUGUUUAUUCGGCAGUCACCAUGAGAGUACUUUGGAUUCUGGUGUUGAUGAUUUUUAGUAAUGGGCUUGGGGUAAGUGGGGCUAAUAAA
This 246-nucleotide unclassified non-coding RNA is filed under the name Hevea brasiliensis (rubber tree). The record is from RNAcentral. Lineage: Eukaryota; Viridiplantae; Streptophyta; Magnoliopsida; Malpighiales; Euphorbiaceae.